GACAGAGGGUGCAAACGUUGCUCGGAAUUACUGGGCGUAAAGGGCUCGUAGGUGGCCAACUAAGUCAGACGUGAAAUCCCUCAGCUUAACUGGGGAACUGCGUCUGAUACUGGAUGGCUUGAGUUUGGGAGAGGGAUGCGGAAUUCCAGGUGUAGCGGUGAAAUGCGUAGAUAUUGGGAAGAACACCUGAGGCGAAGGCGGGUUGCUGGGCCGACACUGACGCUGAGGCGCGAAAGCCAGGGGAGCAAACGGG
RNAcentral lists this ribosomal RNA (253 nucleotides) under uncultured bacterium. RNAcentral describes it as "partial 16S ribosomal RNA". It matches the Rfam family "Bacterial small subunit ribosomal RNA", at positions 524 to 776 of the family's 1533-position model. The record is from RNAcentral.